Molecule: long non-coding RNA, 1230 nt
Organism: Triticum urartu
Lineage: Eukaryota; Viridiplantae; Streptophyta; Magnoliopsida; Poales; Poaceae
Source: RefSeq, a predicted model, not a curated record
UUGUUUUUGAACACACAAAGAAAAGUUGGGUGCAGGCUGGUUCGUGACGGAAAAAAGAAAAAAAAAGGGCUGGGCAGGGGAUAGAUCCCGGAAGGCGAUGGAGGGCGAGGCAAUUGGUUCGGCGGCGAAGGCCUUCGGCAGCCAUGCGCGCCGCCUGCGAGUUUCCCCUAGACCUCGUGUGCAGUUGGGGGCGUCGCCCCGCGGCUCUGUUCAUGGUGAAGGGAGCGAGAUCGAAGGCUGUCGGGAAGCCAGACUGCGAGAAUCUUCGGUGGCUGCUCACGACAGCUGUGGCGACCCUGGUGGCGAGGGGAGCAGAGACAACGCUGCUGCUGAGUCCAGCGAGUCGGCGGUAAAGAGCAAAUCCGAAGGCGCUGGAGUGUAUUAGAAGGGAUCGUGUGGGAGCAAAUCCAACAGAGCAGGCACCAUGCCCUGGUAGGAUGGGUGACCUAGAGAAGUCCAUAUGGGGGUUUGCAGAACGAGAUGGGGACAAAGUGGUGAAACCAGAAUUGGGCACCACAUUCGACUCUGUACAAUUUCCCCUGUCUUUGCGACCAAAUCAUCUGAGAGAGAGGAGCUUCGGGCUUGUUACAAUUUCAUAACUGCAAUGUACCACCUCAGUGGUUUCAGUCGACCAAGAAAGAAAAAAGAAAUCCUUGAUGUUUCUUGUAUAUCCAUGUCAUAUGCUUAGUAUAUUUUUGCUUUUGAUGAAUUGUUAGAUCAAAUGAUUCAGAUUGCACGACAUGGUUCCAGGUGUUUGGGACUAGCUGAACUUUGAUAGCUGCUGUUGGUAUUGUAUCAUGCCGAAAAUUCAAUCGAUCAUCAAUUGAGCAGUCCUCGUCAAGAACCAGCUCAAUGCGAUGGCCAUGUCGCCGCCGGACCCAACCUCAACACCCAGGUCACCACUGCCCACCAAGUUGCAGGGCUCUCCAGAGGAUUCAACAUCUUGGAGAUAUUCAAAACAAGAAGAAAGAAAUGACUCAUGUCGCCCAUGUUUAGAGCAUGUAGCCUUAUUGAGUACAUGUGGACAACUCGUAAAGUUGUAAUAGCAAUCUUUAUGCCUCGGUGUAAACUCGUCAGAAAUUUCAGCAUUGUUAGAUGUACUCGGUGUCUUUGUUUACAGUUUUUUGUCAUUUCUGUUGUUUAUUAAUGAAGCAAGUGAUGUUCACCUCUGAAGCAAAAAUGGUGCUACAGUCGUUGAUUGUAGCCUCAACCAAUGUUAUAUUAUUUUCA